ACGGAUGUAGCUUAGCUGGUAGAGCAUCGGUCUCCAAAACCGAAGGUCGUAAGUUCGAACCUUACCAUCCGUG
This 73-nucleotide transfer RNA is filed under the name Blattabacterium punctulatus. Its description in RNAcentral is "tRNA-Trp". It matches the Rfam family "tRNA". Rfam says of the family: Transfer RNA (tRNA) molecules are approximately 80 nucleotides in length. Their secondary structure includes four short double-helical elements and three loops (D, anti-codon, and T loops). Lineage: Bacteria; Pseudomonadati; Bacteroidota; Flavobacteriia; Flavobacteriales; Blattabacteriaceae. The record is from RNAcentral. RNAcentral also lists the same sequence under 1 other name.